AGGAGAGUUUGAUCCUGGCUCAGGAUGAACGCUAGCUACAGGCUUAACACAUGCAAGUCGAGGGGCAGCAUGGAGGUUGCUUGCAACUUCUGAUGGCGACCGGCGCACGGGUGAGUAACGCGUAUCCAACCUUCCCCCUAGUAGGGCACAGCCCGGCGAAAGUCGGAUUAAUACCCUAUGUUCUUCAAUGAUGACAUCAGGAUUGAAGCAAAGAUUCAUCGCUAGUGGAUGGGGAUGCGUCUGAUUAGCUUGAUGGCGGGGUAACGGCCCACCAUGGCGACGAUCAGUAGGGGUUCUGAGAGGAAGGUCCCCCACAUUGGAACUGAGACACGGUCCAAACUCCUACGGGAGGCAGCAGUGAGGAAUAUUGGUCAAUGGAGGCAACUCUGAACCAGCCAAGUAGCGUGCAGGAGGACGGCCCUAUGGGUUGUAAACUGCUUUUAUGAGGGGAUAAACUGCGCCACGCGUGGUGUAUUGCAUGUACCUCAUGAAUAAGGACCGGCUAAUUCCGUGCCAGCAGCCGCGGUAAUACGGAAGGUCCGGGCGUUAUCCGGAUUUAUUGGGUUUAAAGGGAGCGCAGGCGGGCCCUUAAGCGUGACGUGAAAUGCAGCGGCUCAACCGUAUGAAGUGCGUCGCGAACUGGGGGUCUUGAGUGGGUGCGAGGUAUGCGGAAUUCGUGGUGUAGCGGUGAAAUGCUUAGAUAUCACGAGGAACCCCGAUUGCGAAGGCAGCGUACCAGUCCCUUACUGACGCUAAAGCUCGAAGGUGCGGGUAUCGAACAGGAUUAGAUACCCUGGUAGUCCCCU
RNAcentral lists this ribosomal RNA (806 nucleotides) under uncultured Bacteroidota bacterium. RNAcentral describes it as "bacterial SSU rRNA". It matches the Rfam family "Bacterial small subunit ribosomal RNA", at positions 1 to 799 of the family's 1533-position model. The record is from RNAcentral. Lineage: Bacteria; Pseudomonadati; Bacteroidota.